GCCUUGGACCAGGUGGGAUAGGAGCAGGGGUUCUUGCUGGGAAGGCUGGGUACCCCACUGGGACAGGUGUUGGAGCACAGGCGGCAGCAGCAAAAGCGGCAGCUAAAUAUGGAGCCGGUGUCCUGCCUGGGGCUGGCGGCAUCCCAGGGGUGGGCGGCGUGGUGCCCGGUGUCGGUGUUGUUCCAGGAGCUGGAGUGGGAGGCCCGGCAGCGGCAGCAGCUGCAGCGAAGGCAGCAGCGAAAGCAGGAGCCUAUGGUGCAGGGGUGCUGCCCGGGGUCGGAGGUGUCCCAGGUCUUGUGCCUGGUGUCGGCGGUGUGCCUGGCUUGGUUCCUGGUGUCGGAGGUGUCCCUGGGGUGGCAGGAGUUGGGACACCAGCAGGAGCAGCAGCAGCAGCCAAGGCAGCUAAGUAUGGAGCUGGCGUUCCCGGUGUUGGCGUUCCCGGCGUUGGCGUUCCUGGCGUUGGCAUUGGAGGCGUGCCUGGUGUGCCUGGUGUGCCUGGUGUACCUGGUGUGCCUGGUGUACCUGGUGUGCCUGGUGUUCCUGGUGUGGCUGGUGUUCCUGGUGUGGUACCUGGCGUUGGAGGUGAGCAGAUGGGCUGGCAUGAGGGGACAACAUGGUGCCAGCUUCGCCAGUUCCCCUGACACCCUCUCUUCUGUUCCUGCAGUGGGUGGCCCAGCAGCUGCUGCUGCAGCAAAGGCUGCAGCAAAAGCAGCCGCAUUUGGAGCAGGGCGUGUGCCUGGGGUCGGCGUGCCUGGCGGUGUGCCUGGGGUCGGUGUACCAGGAGUCGGUGUUCCUGGAGUCGGAGUACCUGGAAUUGGUGUACCUGGAGUUGGAGUACCUGGGGUCGGUGUUCCCGGAGUUGGCGUACCCGGUCUGGUGCCUGGAGCUGGCCCAGCUGCUGCUGCUAAAGCAGCUGCCAAAGCUGCCAAGUACGCAGGAGCAGGUGGCUUGGCACCUGGCGUGGGAGGUCUGGCACCUGGCAUAGGAGGUCUGGCACCUGGUGUGGGAGGCCUUGCUCCUGGUGUAGGUGGCCUUGCUCCUGGUGUAGGUGGCCUGGCCCCUGGCGUUGGAGGUGUUCCAGGUGUUGGAGGUCCAGCAGCAGCCGCAAAAGCAGCAGCUAAGGCAGCCAAAUACGGUGCUGGUGUUGGAGGGGUGCCGGGUGCUGUGCCCGGUGCUCCUGGUGUGCCAGGAGUGACACCUGGCAUCGGUGGUGUGCCCGGCUUAGUGCCAGGCGUAGGGGUGCCCGGUGCCGGCGUUCUCCCCGGAGCAGGCAUCCCUCAGGUCGGGGUGCAGCCUGGUGCUAAGCCUCCCAAAUUCGGUGUGCCCGGGGCUGGGGUCCCAGGGGUCGGUGGCAUCCCAGGUGGCCUCGGAGUUGGUGGCCUUGGAGUUGGUGGCCUCGGUGCUGGUGGGGUUGGUGGCCAGCUGGGAUUUGGCGGUGAGUGCACUCUGGUCACACGCAUGGGGAUGUUGGGUUGGAGUCCCCUCAAAAGGCACUUGUCCCCACGCUGCCCCCCGCCCCACUCAUCUCUCUGCCUUGUCCCCACAGGGAAGCCCCCCAAGACCUACGGAGGAGCCCUGGGGGCCCUGGGCUUUAGAGGUGAGCGCUGUUUGGCUUUUCCCCACCCCUCCUCCGAGCACCUUUUUGGGGCACAGCUGGGGGGCUGAUCCACUCUCCCCCCUCCAUCCCCAGGUGGAAUUGGCUGUGCACAAGGGAAAUACUGCGGGAGGAAGCGGAAGUAACCGCCCACCGUCACCGAUGACCUCAUGAACUUUGGUGCUACUGCAUGGUCCAGAAUGUAAAUCCCCACCAAGCUGAGACCCCCCUGGCCCCACGCUCCCGGCAGGGACCCCACGGCAGCGUCAGGGGCCGCCCCCCCACCUCGGGAACCCCC
Molecule: long non-coding RNA, 1892 nt
Organism: Meleagris gallopavo (turkey)
Lineage: Eukaryota; Metazoa; Chordata; Aves; Galliformes; Phasianidae
Source: Ensembl